GACGAACGCUGGCGGCGUGCCUAAUACAUGCAAGUAGAACGCACAGUUUAUACCGUAGCUUGCUACACCAUAAACUGUGAGUUGCGAACGGGUGAGUAACGCGUAGGUAACCUGCCUGGUAGCGGGGGAUAACUAUUGGAAACGAUAGCUAAUACCGCAUAAUAUUAAUUAUUGCAUGAUAAUUGAUUGAAAGAUGCAAUUGCAUCACUACCAGAUGGACCUGCGUUGUAUUAGCUAGUAGGUGAGGUAACGGCUCACCUAGGCGACGAUACAUAGCCGACCUGAGAGGGUGAUCGGCCACACUGGGACUGAGACACGGCCCAGACUCCUACGGGAGGCAGCAGUAGGGAAUCUUCGGCAAUGGACGAAAGUCUGACCGAGCAACGCCGCGUGUGUGAAGAAGGUUUUCGGAUCGUAAAGCUCUGUUGUAAGAGAAGAACGGGUGUGAGAGUGGAAAGUUCACACUGUGACGGUAUCUUACCAGAAAGGGACGGCUAACUACGUG
Molecule: ribosomal RNA, 505 nt
Filed under: uncultured bacterium
Lineage: Bacteria
Description: partial 16S ribosomal RNA
Rfam family: Bacterial small subunit ribosomal RNA
Source: RNAcentral